This is a long non-coding RNA of Oreochromis aureus, 743 nucleotides long. The record is from Ensembl. Lineage: Eukaryota; Metazoa; Chordata; Actinopteri; Cichliformes; Cichlidae.
AGUCAUGACUCAUGUUAAGCCUUCGUCCACCUUUCUGUAACACCUGGCAUCAGAGCUUCAUCUCCCUUCACCUUUGAUUCUGUUUUUCGCUUCUAACACGUUCCUUGAUUUUGCGUGUUCCCCUUUCUCGCCUCUUAUUUAGUCUUGCUUUACUCUGUAUUCUGCCAGUGGUACCCUGAGGUCCGUCACUAAGCUGGAUCUGAGGGAUGAAAAGGAUACCAUUGAGAAACUGAAGGACAAGAAGCUGGCGCCUAUCACCUAUCUGUGGAUAGGGCCUAGCUCUGGCUAAGAAGAUAGAUGCAGUUAAAUACCUGGAGUGCUCAGCCUUGACCCAGUGUGAUCUGAAGACUGUGUUUGAUGAGGCCAUUCGUGCUGUCCUCUGCCCUCAGCCCGCCAAGGUCAAGAAGAAGCCCUGCUCGCUGCUGUAAACGACUCUCACAGGAGCACAGAAGAAGAGAAAAGGACUGCAGACCCUGAAGAAUAUAUGCAAAUUCUGCCAUGUCUCUAAUGUAUAUCUACAACUUUAAACAAAACAAAAAACAAAAAAAUGUAUGUAUUGCUAUUGUUUUAGAGAUGCCAACAAGCUCUUAAGUCCAAAUCCAGAUGCUGCACCAGACAGUUUCUUUGUAAAAUAUACCAGUUUAGAGAUUAUAGAUUUACCCUUUGAGUUUAAGUCUGAGAGCAGCAUGCUGCCUUCAUCUAAAGUACUGCCAACAAUAUAUAUGUGUUUUGUGAAACCUAAA